CCUACGGGAUGCAGCAGUGAGGAAUAUUGGUCAAUGGGCUUACGCCUGAACCAGCCAAGUCGCGUGAGGGAAGACUGCCCUAUGGGUUGUAAACCUCUUUUGUCAGGGAGCAACGCCGGCUACGUGUAGCCGGACUGAGAGUACCUGAAGAAAAAGCAUCGGCUAACUCCGUGCCAGCAGCCGCGGUAAUACGGAGGAUGCGAGCGUUAUCCGGAUUUAUUGGGUUUAAAGGGUGCGUAGGCGGAAUGCCAAGUCAGCGGGAAAAUCGCGGGGCUCAACCUCGCUCCGCCGUUGAAACUGGCGUUCUUGAGUGGGCGAGAAGUAUGCGGAAUGCGUGGUGUAGCGGUGAAAUGCAUAGAUAUCACGCAGAACUCCGAUUGCGAAGGCAGCAUACCGGCGCCCAACUGACGCUGAAGCACGAAAGCGUGGGUAUCGAACAGGAUUAGAUACCCGAGUAGUC
Molecule: ribosomal RNA, 460 nt
Filed under: uncultured bacterium
Lineage: Bacteria
Description: partial 16S ribosomal RNA
Rfam family: Bacterial small subunit ribosomal RNA
Source: RNAcentral